CUAAAUCCUGGGUUUGAUUUGUUUGUUGGAAGCUCAGAAUAAAGAGGAUAACUUGAAAAGGGGUGUUAAUUCCUUGGCCAGGGACAGUUGCCAUCUCACCAGAGGCACAUGUGUGUAGGAUUAGCUCCUCUCCUAGGCCCUUGGAGCUGAUCUGUAAUAGGAAAGAAAAAUUUUGAAAUGAGCAGAAUCUGUGCUGACCUUCCCAUAUGAGAGCAAAACUUAAUUAGUCCUCAGUGUGUAGACAAACCACCCUAAGCCCAGUCACGGGAAUUUGUUGGUCAACAGACUGUACCAUCCACUUUGUACAAGCUGAGAUGUUUCUUGGUCAUGACUUCUGAGGACUUCCAGCCUUCCCGGGCUCCCAAGAUCCAAGGAUGCCCUCUUACCUUGUCU
Molecule: long non-coding RNA, 393 nt
Filed under: Junco hyemalis (dark-eyed junco)
Lineage: Eukaryota; Metazoa; Chordata; Aves; Passeriformes; Passerellidae
Description: lncRNA (ENSJHYG00000006535.1)
Source: RNAcentral